AAAUGAUAAUCUAUAGACAGGUCACAGUAAAGGACACAAGGCUUCACCCUCUAAUCUUGGUAAACUUAAUUUUGGCAACAGGUAGGAUGGAGGGAGAAAUGGACAAAGAUCCUCCUGGCCCUGCAGCCAGCCCCCCACAUCCUGGGGUUUGGAUUGCUGAGAAGUGAGUUCGGAAUGGUUGGGAGCUACAAUUUCUGCAGCUCUGAGCCCACUACAGCAGCAGACAACUCGUACCCUCUGAAGGAAAUGCAGAUGUACAAGUUUCUGGUGUAAUCACUGUCUUGCCACUGGAUACAGCUGGCAAGGACUAUUUCAAAAUAUUCAUCUUGAAAUGCUCUGUUUAUUCAACUUAAAUAUUUUGAAAGAAAGUGCUAAUAAUGACAGGAUUUGAGCUUUGAAAUUAAUGUGUUUUUCCCUUUAAUUGCAUUGCAUUGUAAGAAUUAACAAAAUUUCUUCCUUUCAAGAAAGGAGAGAAAAUCAACAACUUAUUCAAAGCAGUGUGAACUGGAAGUUGAUUCAAGUCAACUGGAAAAAUCCCAAAUGAUGUCCUACUGGUUGAUGUUGCUGCCCAAGGAGCCUCUCCUCUGUCAUGGAGGGGAAUGAAUGGGUAACAGGGGACAACUGACCUGUGAAGGUUUGUGCAUCUAGAAAAGAACUAAUAAGUGGAAAAAAGCAGAAGUUCUGUUGGAAAUAACACUGAGUCUUGAAACAAAGUCCUGGUGCUGGUAGCAGUUCACCCCAGCACAUCCUGGGGAGUUAAAACUUGUGUCAGUGCUGGGCAACUGCAGUUCAGGGGUGUCUGUGCCUCUCCAAGCUGCCCUGCUGGCUCUGACUGCUGGGGGUCCUCAAAGGAGCUGGAGAGAAGGGAAGGAUCCAUGAAUGAAUCCCAGGAAUGGCAUUCAGCAUUCCUGUUGGGCUACACCAUGAACUGGCAAGGAAGUUCAAACUGGAAUCUGCCUCCUGUGUCUCUGCCAAUAACCACAGAACCUGUGCUUGCUUUUAAUAAAACCAGAGAGUCAUUAACGUUGGAAAAGACCUCUAAGACCAUUGAAUCCAACUGUUAACAAUAUUGGCUCAACAGUAUGUGGCUGGGGGAUAAAAAGUUGUAUUGCUUUAAAAAUUUACUAAUUUACUGAAUUCAAAUGAAAGUGGGAUUUAGUGAAGCAAGCCGAGGGUUUGUGUCUGAACAUCUGGCUGUAGAUGUGACCACUAUUGUGUGUCAGGGAUCUGCAGGACUCUGUUCCACCCCUGUUGGAAAUACCAUGCCAGCAGAGGUCUGGUUUGUGUCAAAACAAACACUGGAUACGUAUUCAGCAAGAACAGUAAUGAAAUAGUUGGCUAUAAAAACCCUUCUGUUCUCAGAACUAAAAUGUGAUGCACUUAUAACAGAAAGGGCACUUUUUGUAAGACAUUGAAGUCUUCUUUAUAUGUUUUGAAUAUAUUUUACUAAAUCAGUUGCCUGGAAAUGGAGUUUAAUUCUGGAAUUCAAUGAACGUUGAACAGUCGUUUCCUCUCUGCACUGUUGGUUGUUUUACAGGUACUUCACAUGCACCUUCUUCAGUCAUGUCUUCUGAGAGCCAGUGUUACAUGGAUUUAUUUGGAUGGGAAAUGGUUCCUCAGUUGGGAUUAUCCUUUUUGUCUCUCUCUGGAUUAUUUUACCAUUCAUAACUGCAGGAAUCCUGAGGAAAAUCACAUCCAGCUGCUCUGUAACUGAACUGUCUGACCAGCUGCUCCAGGGCAACAUCCAGAGCUCCAUCCCUCUGCUCCUUGGCUGCCUGGUUGAGCCCCAAGAAGCUGUUCAUGGUGUCUAAAAAUGAUACCUCUGCCCUGUGUCCAAGUGUGUGUCCCACUGCACACGGCAGACACGUCACCUCUGUUCCCAUCCCAAGCCAGAAAUCUGGGCUCCCAUCCUCAGGAAAUCACCCUCUGCGGCUUUUUCAGCCGAAAGCUAAAAAUCAGGGGUGAUUUCUGUGGUGUUGCCUAAGGAUGCAUCUCACUGAGUUUGUCUUACACUCUAAACCAGCUUCUGAGCAGCUCACAGCCUGUUCAGAACAAUCUCUUCUCUGCAGUGCCUGGCCUGGGACAUGCCAGAGGAAGGAUGCAUUUCCUCCAGCAGAAAAUAUCAAGACUAGGGACAAACCAGCAAACCUUUCUGUCUGUUCAGAGUGUGUGUUUGGAUCCUCAUGUGCCCUUCUACCAGUGUAAUGCACAGAAAAUUUCCAGGGCAAACAAACUGCGACUGCACUCCCCUUGUUCAUGGCUGGGCACAUUCCUGUGACCAGGAUUGAUCCAACAAGCAGUGGUGGAGCAGAGCUGGCUGUAGAGCUCAGCCACCAGCUAAAAUCUGCUGAGUGUGUUUGAGUCUUUGUCUAGAGCACAGAUUUAGCUUAGAAUGGGAGAGGACUCCUGGACAGCUCUGGAGAAUCAGCCCUUUUCUGUGGUGUGGAUGCAUUGAGGUCAUCGUGGUUGAUCCUUGGGUUCACAGUGGUGUCAAUGUGGACCAAUUUAAUUUAGGCAAAGAUGCCAAACUGCACCAGGGCUAAACCAAAGGCCAGGAUUUGUUACUCUGGCUUUGCUGUUUGGGGCAGAUAAACUGUCAGUAUUUAGAACUGAGAGGAUUCCUUGUAGCAAAGCACGGGAGACUCGAGGUGUGGUUUGAGCUGUUCGAAUUUCUCUACUGGAUUAAACUGGGCACCUCUAAAGGUCUUCUUUAAAAACAAAGAAGAGAAAGCUCCUGUUUAACCUCCUGGAGGCUCAUCAAACCCCACAGCUGUCACGGUGCCCAAGAUCUAAUUUUAAAUGGGCCAGGAGCAAAGUUGGGGGUUAGUGCAGACACUUUUAACUGUGUCCUUUGGGUACCUAAUUUUUGUGAGGUGUAAUGUUCUUGUCCUGUCAGCGCAGAAUCACAGAAUAUUCUGGGUUGGAAGGGACCCACAGUGAACAUCCAGUCCAGCUCUUAAGUGAAUGGCCCCUACACAGGAUUGGCAUUUUUAGCACCAAGUUUUAACCAGCUGAACUAAUCUCAUGGUCAUCAGUCACCAGCACAUCUUCAUUUUACUGAAUAACAGCCCCCCAAAUCAUAAGUCUUGGAAGUUUUACUGGCACACAAAUUGGGUUUGUGUUUUUAGCAGUUGUCUUUCCUUCCCAAAAGGAGCUGCAGGCAGAUCCUGUCCCUCAGAAACUGCUGGGAUCAAGGCUUUGUGACCAGGUUUGCAGCAAACCCUUUUUGCAAGAAUGCCUGUUUAAACUCGUGAGAAAAAUAGACCACAGUAGACAUUCAAGAGAAACUUGUAAUUCCUGUUGGACACCAAAACAAAAAACUAAAAUUUUUCAAUGCCUUUGUCCCACAAACCCUUUCCUAGAAUUAUGAGAAAUAUAGGAUUUAUAUUUCUCUGGGAAAAAUGGAAAAAUAAAUCAAUAUGUGGUAAGGCAAAUUGCAGGAGGAAUUUUAGCUCAAUGGAUCUGUCCAGGCUUCCCCUUCUGCUGCCUCAACUCUUCAACACUUCUGUUUAAGGUACACACAGAGUGAAAGAGCCAAUGCAGAGCAUUAAAGAAAUGUUGAAAGGCACCAUUUUUCCUAGCAGUGUGAUAUUUUGACAUUGCCAUCCCCUUCCUUUUUUCCAAGCCUGCCAGGGAAUUUGGUCUCCACAAAAUAUAGUUUGCAGUGAAUUUGAGUAAUUUGUUAAAGAUGUUGCUGUAAUAUUUCCCCUCUAGUUCUUUCCCCGAAGCUUUAGACUGAAAAGUUUUAAUGUCAUAUUUAAAUAGAAGCACAGCUAUAAAUUUCCAAAGGGUUCCCAGAUUCUGAGUCUGACAAUUAAUACAUUUCUGUCCUUUUUUUUGUCUUUUAUUUUCACAGUUGGCAAACUUUACAGGCUUAUUCUGCAGGUCUGAAGAAAAUCUUGCUCCUGUUUUCAACGAAUGCUGUAGUGGAUUCUUGGAUAAAAUAAUUUGAACAGAUUUUGCUCAUUGGACUGUACUGGCAAAACCUUAAGCUUGUUUCUUAAGUGUUAAUCUGAAACAAGGACAAAAUCCCAACUCUGGGCCAAACAUUUGCCCUGACUGUGGGAUGGGGACAGGGCAAGUCAGGAUGGGCUCGUGCCCACGAACAGGUUGGGAGCAAACCUAGAUCAGGAAAAAAAUGGUUUCACUUGUUUCAACAAUGAAAUCAUUAAAAUGGCUUACAAAUAAUUUUUAGAUUUAUAAAAAACGUUAUAUUUUAAUACUAAUUAUGAAUAAAAAUCCUCGUUGAAGUGCCACACAACAUAUUAUUGCAGCCAAUUAUCCCACCUGGAGUGUGCAAGGGCAAGCACACGAGUCAGGUUGUGCAGGACACGGACCGUGAUUCACUC
Molecule: long non-coding RNA, 4349 nt
Organism: Pipra filicauda (Wire-tailed manakin)
Lineage: Eukaryota; Metazoa; Chordata; Aves; Passeriformes; Pipridae
Exons: 3
Source: RefSeq, a predicted model, not a curated record